Otolemur garnettii (small-eared galago) is the source of this 102-nucleotide unclassified non-coding RNA. It matches the Rfam family "Y RNA". Rfam says of the family: Y RNAs are components of the Ro ribonucleoprotein particle (Ro RNP), in association with Ro60 and La proteins. The Y RNAs and Ro60 and La proteins are well conserved, but the function of the Ro RNP is not known. NCBI's taxonomy places the organism in Eukaryota, Metazoa, Chordata, Mammalia, Primates, Galagidae. The record is from Ensembl.
UGCUGGUCUCAAUGCAGUGGUAUUUACAACCAAUUGUUCCCGAGCAGUUACAGAUUCCUUUGUUCCUUCUCCACUCCCACUGCUUCACUUGACCAACCAAAA